GACGAACGCUGGCGGCGUGCCUAAUACAUGCAAGUAGAACGCUGAAGGAGGAGCUUGCUCUUCUGGAUGAGUUGCGAACGGGUGAGUAACGCGUAGGUAACCUGCCUGGUAGCGGGGGAUAACUAUUGGAAACGAUAGCUAAUACCGCAUAAGAGUAGAUGUUGCAUGACAUUUACUUAAAAGGUGCAAUUGCAUCACUACCAGAUGGACCUGCGUUGUAUUAGCUAGUUGGUGGGGUAACGGCUUACCAAGGCGACGAUACAUAGCCGACCUGAGAGGGGGAUCGGCCACACUGGGACUGAGACACGGCCCAGACGCCUACGGGAGGCAGCAGUAGGGAAUCUUCGGCAAUGGACGGAAGUCUGACCGAGCAACGCCGCGUGAGUGAAGAAGGGUUUCGGAUCGUAAAGCUCUGUUGUAAGAGAAGAACGAGUGUGAGAGUGGAAAGUUCACACUGUGACGGUAUCUUACCAGAAAGGGACGGCUAACUACGUG
RNAcentral lists this ribosomal RNA (495 nucleotides) under uncultured bacterium. Its description in RNAcentral is "partial 16S ribosomal RNA". It matches the Rfam family "Bacterial small subunit ribosomal RNA", at positions 28 to 507 of the family's 1533-position model. The record is from RNAcentral.